AACGAACGCUGGCGGCAGGCCUAACACAUGCAAGUCGAAGGAGAAGCCAUCUUCGGAUGGUGGAAACUGGCGCACGGGUGAGUAACGCGUGGGUAUCUACCUCGGGGUGGGGAAUAACCGCUGGAAACGGCGGCUAAUACCGCAUACGCCUUAAGAGGGAAAGCUCCGGCGCCCUGAGAGGAGCCCGCGUUGGAUUAGCUUGUUGGUGGGGUAACGGCCUACCAAGGCUACGAUCUAUAGCUGGUCUGAGAGGAUGAUCAGCCACACUGGGACUGAGACACGGCCCAGACUCCUACGGGAGGCAGCAGUGGGGAAUAUUGGACAAUGGGCGCAAGCCUGAUCCAGCCAUGCCGCGUGAGUGAAGAAGGCCUUAGGGUUGUAAAGCUCUUUCACCUGCGAAGAUGAUGACGGUAGCAGGAGAAGGAGCCCCGGCUAACUCCGUG
Molecule: ribosomal RNA, 443 nt
Filed under: uncultured bacterium
Lineage: Bacteria
Description: bacterial SSU rRNA
Rfam family: Bacterial small subunit ribosomal RNA
Source: RNAcentral